UUCCGGUUGAUCCUGCCGGACCCGACUGCUAUCAGAGUGGGACUAAGCCAUGCGAGUCAACGUAGCAAUACGUGGCAUACGGCUCAGUAACACGUAGUCAACAUGCCCAGGGGACGAGGAUAACCUCGGGAAACUGAGGAUGAACCUCGAUAGGCCAUGAUUUCUGGAAUGAUUCUUGGCUCAAACCUAUAUGGCCCCUGGAUUGGACUGCGGCCGAUCAGGCUGUUGGUGAGGUAAUGGCCCACCAAACCUAUUGCCGGUACGGGCUCUGAGAGGAGGAGCCCGGAGAUGGGCACUGGGACAAGGGCCCAGGCCCUAUGGGGCGCAGCAGGCGCGAAACCUCUGCAAUAGGCGAAAGCUUGACAGAGUUACUCUGAGUGAUUUCCGCUAAGGGAAUCUUUUGGCACCUCUAAAAAUGGUGCAGAAUAAGGGGUGGGCAAGUCUGGUGUCAGCCGCCGCGGUAAUGCCAGCACCCCGAGUGGUCGGGACGAUUAUUGGGCCUAAAGCAUCCGUAGCCGGUCCUGCAAGUCUUCCGUUAAAUCCAGCUGCUCAACAGAUGGGCUGCGGGAGAUACUACAGGGCUAGGAGGCGGGAGAGGCAAGCGGUACUUUAUGGGUAGGGGUAAAAUCCGCUGAUCCAUAGAAGACCACCAGUGGCGAAGGCGGCUUGCCAGAACGCGCUCGACGGUGAGGGAUGAAAGCUGGGGGAGCAAACCGGAUUAGAUACCCGGGUAGUCCCAG
This 740-nucleotide ribosomal RNA is filed under the name uncultured archaeon. RNAcentral describes it as "bacterial SSU rRNA". It matches the Rfam family "Archaeal small subunit ribosomal RNA", at positions 1 to 750 of the family's 1478-position model. The record is from RNAcentral.